RNAcentral lists this ribosomal RNA (466 nucleotides) under uncultured bacterium. Its description in RNAcentral is "partial 16S ribosomal RNA". It matches the Rfam family "Bacterial small subunit ribosomal RNA", at positions 28 to 507 of the family's 1533-position model. The record is from RNAcentral.
GACGAACGCUGGCGGCGUGCUUAACACAUGCCAGUCGAACGGAAAGGCCUCUUUCGGGGGGUACUCGAGUGGCGAACGGGUGAGUAACACGUGAGUAACCUGCCCUUGACUUUGGGAUAACUUCAGGAAACUGGGGCUAAUACCGGAUAGGAGCUCCUGCUGCAUGGUGGGGGUUGGAAAGUUUCGGCGGUUGGGGAUGGACUCGCGGCUUAUCAGCUUGUUGGUGGGGUAGUGGCUUACCAAGGCUUUGACGGGUAGCCGGCCUGAGAGGGUGACCGGCCACAUUGGGACUGAGAUACGGCCCAGACUCCUACGGGAGGCAGCAGUGGGGAAUAUUGCACAAUGGGUGGAAGCCUGAUGCAGCAACGCCGUGUGCGGGAUGACGGCCUUCGGGUUGUAAACCGCUUUCGCCUGUGACGAAGCGUGAGUGACGGUAAUGGGUAAAGAAGCACCGGCUAACUACGUG